Molecule: ribosomal RNA, 861 nt
Filed under: uncultured bacterium
Lineage: Bacteria
Description: bacterial SSU rRNA
Rfam family: Bacterial small subunit ribosomal RNA
Source: RNAcentral
GAUGAACGCUGGCGGCGUGCUUAAUACAUGCAAGUCGAACGAAGAGCCUUUGUAGCAAUACGAGGGUUUCUUAGUGGCGAACGGGUGCGUAACGCGUUGGUGACCUGCCCCGAAGUGUGGGAUAACAGUUCGAAAGGACUGCUAAUACCGCAUGUGGACACGAGGGUUAGAGGCUUUGUGUCUAAAGCAGUAAUGCGCUUUGGGAGGGACCUGCGUCCCAUCAGUUAGUUGGUAGGGUAACGGCCUACCAAGACUUCGACGGGUAGGGAACCUGAGAGGGUGGUUCCCCACACUGGCACUGAAACACGGGCCAGACACCUACGGGUGGCAGCAGUAGGGAAUAUUGGGCAAUGGGCGAAAGCCUGACCCAGCAACGCCGCGUGCACGAUGAAGGUCUUCGGAUCGUAAAGUGCUUUUCUGAGAGAUGAGAAAGGACAGUAUCUCAGGAAUAAGUCUCGGCUAACGACGUGCCAGCAGCCGCGGUAAAACGUAGGAGGCAAGCGUUAUCCGGAUUUAUUGGGCGUAAAGCGCGUGCAGGCGGUUUGGUAAGUUGGAUGUGAAAGCUCCCGGCUUAACUGGGAGAGGUCGUUCAAUACUACCAGACUCGAGAGCGGUAGAGGGAGGUGGAAUUCCCGGUGUAGUGGUGAAAUGCGUAGAUAUCGGGAGGAACACCAGUGGCGAAAGCGGCCUCCUGGACCGUUUCUGACGCUCAGACGCGAAAGCUAGGGUAGCAAACGGGAUUAGAGACCCCGGUAGUCCUAGCUGUAAACGAUGUGAACUUGGCGUCGGUGGUGUAAAAACCAUCGGUGCCGAAGCCAACGCGAUAAGUUCACCGCCUGGGGACUACGGCCGCAAGGUUAA